Drosophila virilis is the source of this 861-nucleotide non-coding RNA. NCBI's taxonomy places the organism in Eukaryota, Metazoa, Arthropoda, Insecta, Diptera, Drosophilidae. The record is from RefSeq and is a predicted model, not a curated record.
UUAGAGGAAUGAAAUAUUUGCAUUGCUAUUGGAUCUAAUAUCAUGCAACAGUUUAUUUUAGAUUCAGUUCAGUUGCCUCUUUGAGAGAGUUCAAUAAUGUUGAACAUUUGCCAUAUUGUUUACGUUGUGAACAGAAAAUCAAAUAAUUGUGAACCAUUAUCAAAUAGCCACACUCAGCGACGGCGUAGAUAACUCUUUGGAAUAGAUAAGCUAACUUCCAAUCUCUGCUAAUGUUGGGACUAAUCCCUGACAGCGAUUUACACGCUGACUUGACGUUGUUUCGAUCUUAUCCGCAGGGAUUUGUGCGUUUCUGUGGAGCGUUAAAUGAGCGCGAAAUCAACUUAAAUACUAAUUACAGCGGCUACUGAAGGAAAUUGACUUUUCAAUGCCUCGGGCUGAAAAUAUAUACCCUGUAUGAAGCAAAUAUUGAGUAGUUCAUAUAAGAGGCCAGUUACUAAAAGUCUUAAACAGAGGCAUUUAUUUUUAAUUUUGAAAAUAUCACAAAUUUCAGAAAUGAACUUUUCUGUCUUAUAAAUUUUCUGGUCGACUUUUGAUUGUCAAAUGUAAUUUAAUAGCUUUUUGGGCGUAGCGCUAUUAAAAUGUGUCAAAAAAGCAGCUACAUUUUACUUAAUUAACGCAAGAAAUAUUUUGAUUAAUGUAUUUUGUGAAACACUUGCAGCUGGACAUUUUCCUUUGAGGCAAUGCCGCUGUUCUAUAAAAGUCAAGCUUUAUUUAAAUUAUUGUUGCCUCUGCAUACAUUAUGCGAGUACUGUCAAUGGUAAAUUGAUGAGGCGCGCAGCACACACACGCACACACACACGCAAAAUGUAAAUAAAUUAAAGACUUUCAUGGAAAACUGUU